CCUACGGGUGGCAGCAGUGAGGAAUAUUGGUCAAUGGGCGCGAGCCUGAACCAGCCAAGUAGCGUGAAGGAUGAAUGCCCUACGGUUUGUAAACUUCUUUUAUAAAGGAAUAAAGUGAGGCACGUGUGCCUUUUUGUAUGUACUUUAUGAAUAAGGAUCGGCUAACUCCGUGCCAGCAGCCGCGGUAAUACGGAGGAUCCGAGCGUUAUCCGGAUUUAUUGGGUUUAAAGGGAGCGUAGUUGGGUUGUUAAGUCAGUGGUGAAAGUUUGCGGCUCAACCGUAAAAUUGCAAUUGAUACUGGUCGACUUGAGUACAGUUGAGGUAGGCGGAAUUCGUGGUGUAGCGGUGAAAUGCUUAGAUAUCACGAAGAACUCCGAUUGCGAAGGCAGCUUACUAAACUGCCACUGACACUGAUGCACGAAAGUGUGGGGAUCAAACAGGAUUAGAUACCCCUGUAGUC
Molecule: ribosomal RNA, 460 nt
Filed under: uncultured bacterium
Lineage: Bacteria
Description: partial 16S ribosomal RNA
Rfam family: Bacterial small subunit ribosomal RNA
Source: RNAcentral